Non-coding RNA from Ictidomys tridecemlineatus (thirteen-lined ground squirrel), 591 nucleotides. Lineage: Eukaryota; Metazoa; Chordata; Mammalia; Rodentia; Sciuridae. The record is from RefSeq and is a predicted model, not a curated record.
UAAAGUCUGCCCAGGAGGGUGAGAACUCAUGGAGAUAGAGUAUGACAGAGACACGCUUCCUGAAAAUCUCUCAGAUGAUUUUUUCUUUUCCAGACCUCGGAAAUCAACAAAUUUUAAGUUAGAGGAGCAACCUGGGAGUGUGAUAUUCAAAUCCCUGCUACAGGCCAUCCCGCCAUUCGGUUGGAAAUUUGGUCAUGCUUAUCAAUGCCCAGAAAUACCAACUGUGGAGGACAGUGAAGUCGUCAGGCUGCUGCCUGACAUACUGCACAAUGACUACGUCUAGAAUUAAGAAGAUCCAAAGUCAUUUCACACAAGCUGUUCAAGGAAAUAGAAGAGCCUAGUUUUCAGUGGACUGCAAAACAAAAGCUAGAGUUAAAGAACAAGAACCCUUCGACUUACUAGUUUCUGAUAACAGAAAAAAAAUCCAACAGCUUUAACUGAAGCUUUAGCAGAAACAGGGACAGUACCUAGACAAAUCAUAAACCACUGAAGUCAAAAAGGAGAGAAGGGAUGUGAACUUAUUGUUCUUGAGGAAUCUGUGAAUUGGCUAGGCCUGCCAAAUUUUAAAAAAUAAAUUAUUUUAUUGUUUUA